CAAUAGCGUAUAUUUAAGUUGUUGCAGUUAAAAAGCUCGUAGUUGGAUUUUGGGUCGGGGGCACCGGUCCGCCGUUCCGGUGUGCACUGGUGGCCCCUUCCUUUCUGCCGGGGACGUGUGUCGCACUUAAUUGGGUGGCGUUCGGAGUCGGCGUUGUUACUUUGAAAAAAUUAGAGUGUUCAAAGCAAGCCAUCGCUCUGAAUACAUUAGCAUGGAAUAACAUGAUAGGACUCCGGUCUUAUUUUGUUGGUUUCCGAGACUGGAGUAAUGAUUAAGAGGGACAGUCGGGGGCAUCCGUAUUUCAUUGUCAGAGGUGAAAUUCUUGGAUUUAUGAAAGACGAACUUCUGCGAAAGCAUUUGCCAAGGAUGUUUUCAUUAA
Molecule: ribosomal RNA, 379 nt
Filed under: uncultured eukaryote
Lineage: Eukaryota
Description: partial 18S ribosomal RNA
Rfam family: Eukaryotic small subunit ribosomal RNA
Source: RNAcentral